RNAcentral lists this unclassified non-coding RNA (155 nucleotides) under uncultured Hypocreales. RNAcentral describes it as "sequence contains ITS1". The record is from RNAcentral. Lineage: Eukaryota; Fungi; Ascomycota; Sordariomycetes; Hypocreales.
CCGAGUUUACAACUCCCAAACCCCUGUGAACAUACCUUUUGUUGCUUCGGCGGGAUCGCCCCGGCGCCCCCGGGCCCGGACCCAGGCGCCCGCCGGAGGACCUAAACUCUUGUUUUCCUGAAGUAUCUUCUGAGUGACACAAGCAAAUAAAAUCA